AGCUGUCUCUUUUGCGUGGUUUGAAUUUAACCUUUGAGUGAAAAGGCUCAAAUUUCUUAGUGGGACGAUAAGACCCUAUAAAACUUAAUAUAAGUUAAAUUGGAUUUGUGAUUUCAGUAAAAAGUGGUCCUUUUAAGUUUAUAUUUCGUUGGGGAGAUGUAGAUAUAAUGUGUAACUGUUUAUAAAACUAAAUAAUCAUAAUUAGUUUGUGAUCCUGCAGAUGUGGAUUGAAAGAGUAAGUUACUUUAGGGAUAACAGCGUAAUUUUCUUUGAGAGUUCUGAUCGACAAGAGUAGUUGCGACCUAGAUUCUGAGUAGACC
Molecule: ribosomal RNA, 320 nt
Filed under: Macrobrachium equidens
Lineage: Eukaryota; Metazoa; Arthropoda; Malacostraca; Decapoda; Palaemonidae
Description: partial large subunit ribosomal RNA
Rfam family: Bacterial large subunit ribosomal RNA
Source: RNAcentral